UGGGGAAUAUUGCACAAUGGGCGCUAGCCUGAUGCAGCCAUGCCGCGUGUAUGAAGAAGGCCUUCGGGUUGUAAAGUACUUUCAGUCGGGAGGAAGGUGGUAAGGUUAAUAACCUUAUCAAUUGACGUUACCGACAGAAGAAGCACCGGCUAACUCCGUGCCAGCAGCCGCGGUAAUACGGAGGGUGCAAGCGUUAAUCGGAAUUACUGGGCGUAAAGCGCACGCAGGCGGUUGAUUGAGUCAGAUGUGAAAUCCCCGGGCUUAACCCGGGAAUUGCAUCUGAUACUGGUCAGCUAGAGUCUUGUAGAGGGGGGUAGAAUUCCAUGUGUAGCGGUGAAAUGCGUAGAGAUGUGGAGGAAUACCGGUGGCGAAGGCGGCCCCCUGGACAAAGACUGACGCUCAGGUGCGAAAGCGUGGGGAGCAAACAGG
This 429-nucleotide ribosomal RNA is filed under the name Chloroflexota bacterium. RNAcentral's name for it is "Chloroflexi bacterium partial 16S ribosomal RNA". It matches the Rfam family "Bacterial small subunit ribosomal RNA", at positions 355 to 776 of the family's 1533-position model. Lineage: Bacteria; Bacillati; Chloroflexota. The record is from RNAcentral.